GUUUACUAGAGUUUAUUUGUAGUCUAGCCUGCUCAGUGAUUUUAAUAUAAAAUAGCCGCGGUAUUUUGCCCGUGCAAAGGUAGCAUAAUCAUUAGUUUUUAAUGGAAAGCUCGUAUGAAUGGUUGGACAAAGAAAUAGCUGUCUCUUUUGUUAAAAUUGAACUUAACUUUUAAGUGAAAAGGCUUAAAUCACCCGGGGGGACGAUAAGACCCUAUAAAGCUUUAUAAAUUCAAGAAUUUUAUAUAUUUAGUAUAAAAAUAAUUUUCUCGAUGUUUAUUUGGUUGGGGCGACAAAAGUAUAAUUUUGAAUAACUGCUAGUUCAGACAUACAAAAAUCUCUGAUUUAUAAAUAAUGGAUCCCUUUAUGAGGAUUAAAAGUUCAAGUUACUUUAGCUAUCUACAGCGUUAUUUUUUCUGAGAGUACUUAUCGAAGAAAAAGUUUGCGACCUCGAUGUGGAAUUAAAAUGUCUUUAUAGUGCAGCAG
This 483-nucleotide ribosomal RNA is filed under the name Achelous asper. RNAcentral describes it as "partial 16S ribosomal RNA". It matches the Rfam family "Archaeal large subunit ribosomal RNA", at positions 1921 to 2630 of the family's 2987-position model. Lineage: Eukaryota; Metazoa; Arthropoda; Malacostraca; Decapoda; Portunidae. The record is from RNAcentral.